RNAcentral lists this ribosomal RNA (661 nucleotides) under uncultured bacterium. RNAcentral describes it as "bacterial SSU rRNA". It matches the Rfam family "Bacterial small subunit ribosomal RNA", at positions 94 to 788 of the family's 1533-position model. The record is from RNAcentral.
AGUGGCGGACGGGUGAGUAACGCGUGAGAAUCUGCCUUCAGGUCGGGGACAACAGAGGGAAACUUCUGCUAAUCCCGGAUGAGCCUUAGGGUAAAAAAUUUAUUGCCUGGAGAUGAGCUCGCGUCUGAUUAGCUAGUUGGUAAGGUAAAAGCUUACCAAGGCAACGAUCAGUAGCUGGUCUGAGAGGAUGAGCAGCCACACUGGGACUGAGACACGGCCCAGACUCCUACGGGAGGCAGCAGUGGGGAAUUUUCCGCAAUGAGCGAAAGCCUGACGGACCAAGACCGCGUGGGGGAGGAAGGCUCUAGGGUUGUAAACCCCUUUUCUUUGGGAAGAACAAAAUGACGGUACCAAAGGAAUCAGCCUCGGCUAACUCCGUGCCAGCAGCCGCGGUAAUACGGAGGAGGCAAGCGUUAUCCGGAAUGAUUGGGCGUAAAGCGUCCGCAGGUGGCAAUGUAAGUCUGCUGUCAAAACCCAGGGCUCAACUCUGGUCAGGCAGUGGAAACUACAUAGCUAGAGUUCGGUAGGGGCAAAGGGAAUUCCCGGUGUAGCGGUGAAAUGCGUAGAGAUCGGGAAGAACAUCGGUGGCGAAAGCGCUUUGCUAGACCGAAACUGACACUCAGGGACGAAAGCUAGGGGAGCGAAUGGGAUUAGAUACCCC